Molecule: ribosomal RNA, 429 nt
Filed under: bacterium
Lineage: Bacteria
Description: partial 16S ribosomal RNA
Rfam family: Bacterial small subunit ribosomal RNA
Source: RNAcentral
UAGGGAAUCUUCGGCAAUGGGGGCAACCCUGACCGAGCAACGCCGCGUGAGUGAAGAAGGUUUUCGGAUCGUAAAGCUCUGUUGUAAGAGAAGAACGUGUGUGAGAGUGGAAAGUUCACACAGUGACGGUAACUUACCAGAAAGGGACGGCUAACUACGUGCCAGCAGCCGCGGUAAUACGUAGGUCCCGAGCGUUGUCCGGAUUUAUUGGGCGUAAAGCGAGCGCAGGCGGUUUAAUAAGUCUGAAGUUAAAGGCAGUGGCUUAACCAUUGUUCGCUUUGGAAACUGUUAAACUUGACUGGAGAAGGAGAGAGUGGAAUUCCAUGUGUAGCGGUGAAAUGCGUAGAUAUAUGGAGGAACACCGGUGGCGAAGGCGGCUCUCUGGUCUGUAACUGACGCUAAGGCUCGAAAGCGUGGGGAGCAAACAGG